AAAAAAGAGAAAAGAAAAGAAAGGAAAAGAAGAAAAAAAAAAGAAAACAAAAACAGACUCGAUGUUCAACGCUGGUAAAAUUGGAAUAAACGCGCGAGCUGACGAACUCGAAUCGUUUGCGCGUGAUUUCGAAACGGGUUCUUGUCUAUCUUAAUCGAUAUUCAGCGGUCUCUCGCGUGUGCAUGCAACAGCAGCUGCAGUAGCAGUAGCAGCAGUAGCAGCAGCAGCAGCAGCAGCAGCAACGGUAGCUUGCCAGUAGGUUAAAACGGUGCACGAUUUUGCAAUAACCGGUCACGUGCACAUUCCACCGGCGGAGCUGUUCUCUCGUCGAUUUCUCGUUGGUGUGUUAUCGUUUGGACAAAGCAGAAGCUCGUCUACGCGUGCGUGCAUGUGUAUGCGUGAUACGAGAGAGGAAGAUAUCGUAGGAUAAUACUCUGAAUAUUUGGAGCGAAACGAAACCGUGCCGCAGAUGUCGAGGUAGAUCUACCUUGAAAAGAAAGAAGCGACUGUAAUUAAACCGCACGUAAAUGCGUAGAGCCAAGAAAAAAUAAAAAAAAAAAAAAAAUCAUAGCAAAUAAAAUUUCAAUUGAAGAAAAUAUGGCCGAUUUAAAUACGAACGUUUAUAAUAUUCUACUUUUAUGAUGACUUUUUUAACCAUUAACAUAACAAAAAAAAAAAAUAAUCUGCGAUACUACGUAAUCGUUUAUUAAAAAUAAUAAUUGAUACUUUAGUAUACACACAGAUGCGUAAUCCGUUUUCAAGCGAACAAUAACACAUAACCAUUCGUACGUGAUUUUGUAAUUCAUUUCAAUAUUAAUAUGAACGUAAAUAUUGAUUGCAAUGUGUCUUUAUAUGCGGUACGUAUUCUGACGUAUAAUAAACGCUCGUGUAAAAGCAGAUAAUAAUAAAUGAAUUUACGAAUACAAUUAUACACAUAUCGUAACUGAUGUUAUCAUAAUAUAGACAUAACUCGUAUGUAUCAAAGAAUAUAGUUACUUUGAGUAUCUCAAUAGAUAAUAUUUCUUUUUGAUUUAUUAAUAAUUACAUUUUUCAUAAUAUCUCCAGCAACUCGUAUGAAAACGCUCUAAAUGUUUAUGAAAAAUUCGUAAGAUACGUAAAAAGGAAAUGACAAGAGUAAGAGAAAAAGUUUGGGCUGGACUAGAGUAUAAAUACUUGAGCGACAGAAAGCGACUACUCGUGUUCUUUCAGGGCCAAAGAAGGAGCUUUCUAAAUUCGCCUUGUCAAGAUUCUUUACCUCCUGCCAGAUUCUCCACGCAAGCUUUUCAAUGAACCUUAAAACGCUUGCCCCAAUUUCUCGUUGAAUGAAAGACCGUACAAAAAUGACCUACCUGCUUUUUUGCCUUUAUUUUUCUUCGCUUCUCACUUCGUUCAAUCUAUGUACAUAUAUACGUGAAACAAUCAUGGUGAGAGUUAAGUAAUACAAAUGGAAAGAAAAGUGAUACAAAUCUUUGGAGAAAGCUAAUAUCUAAACUCUAAUAUAAACUAUCCUUAAUACUUUUGCAUUGUUAUAGUUAUCUGUAUAAUUUAAUCUAUGAUAUUAUUUUUAUAUUUUAUUCUUAGUUAAUCGUUAGUUAUCCCAAUGAUAACUGAAGAGUGCAAAUAGUCAAAGGAUGAUUCAAAAAGAGUCUAUAACCGAUCGGAAAUCGAAGAUCCUUCUUCCGAGUUUGUUAAAAUUUUCUGAUUUGUCGAGGCAAACGAAUAAGAAGCAAGCUUUUCCUGGAUCUUACGCAACGAAAUUUCCGGUAUAAACGAAAGGACGCGAAAUACAUAUACAGGUAUAUCUGCUUUAUCGAAGGAGAGCGAGGGGUAGAGAAAAGGGGUUACUCGGAAAUCCUAUAGAAUCGGCAGAGUUUUCCGGUAUAAACUCCGGUCGAACUCGAUCGGACGAAAAUUUCCUCGUUCUUCUUUUCUCGAGUAGAGGAGGUUCCCACGAUCCGAGGGAUACGAAUCCUCCCGACCAUAUUUCAAUCCCACGUGCCGGCGGGCGGAAAAUUCGUUUCUUGGAAGUUGAAGAAAGCGUACAAUGAUUUGUCUGCAGACAUCGAGAAAAGCCGCUAUUAACUGAAUGCCAAUUUGCUCGCGGAACGAAGGAUCCAUGUAUUUUUAUAAAAGGAAAAAAAAAAAAAAAAGAUCGUUAUAUUUAAUAGACUUGAAAUAAUAAAUAAAAAUAAAAUCAUUCGAAUGAUUCGAUAUAUUUUAAUUUUAGACAUCCAAAUUAUUUGUAUUUUUAAAUAUUCGACUAUCGUAAAAGUUUCUUGUUACUAUUAGCUCUACUACGCAUAUAUUUACUAUUUUAUAUCUCCAAUAUGAUUUGCAAAUAGUCCAGUGAUUUUUAUACUAUUUUGUACGGUCUUUUUUUGUCAGCUCAGCGAACUCUUGAAAUAGGUUGAAAUCAAAUUUUUGAAACGUUCCCGAGAGUCUUUCUCAGGAAAUCGUAUGUAUACCAGGAGAACGACUAGGGUCGAGAGGUCCUUCCCAUCAUCCUUCCUUCGGUUUCGUCCUUGCGGCCCAUUUACUCCUCGAGAGAUGAUCCGUUCUGGACUUAGUGGUGCGAUACACAUGACUGAUACGGGUGUUGCAGAUGGCCAUUAAGGCGUAAUUGAGAAUCGAUAGUCGAUCCUCCAACGUUCUCAGAAUCGAUCCAACCCUGAUUUUAAUAAGCUUCCUCUACCCUCGAUAUCUUAUUUUUCAUUUAUGUAUGCAACCGCGUUCUGCCUUUUUCAGACAAGCAAUUUUAGUAAACUCUUCCAUCAGCGAUGUCGAAUAUGUAUUAACUUUGAUAGAAAUAUUAUCAAAUAGCUAAGAAAAAAUUUUAACUUUCUAUAAAUUCACUUACACGAAUCUAAUAUUAUUUACUGUAAACAAAUUGUAACUAUUAGUAAUAAAGUAAACAUACUUAUUUAUUAAUGUUUACAAACUUAUUAUCUAAUAAUUUAGUUAUUAAUCGU
Molecule: long non-coding RNA, 2969 nt
Organism: Vespa velutina
Lineage: Eukaryota; Metazoa; Arthropoda; Insecta; Hymenoptera; Vespidae
Exons: 3
Source: RefSeq, a predicted model, not a curated record